Molecule: ribosomal RNA, 253 nt
Filed under: uncultured bacterium
Lineage: Bacteria
Description: partial 16S ribosomal RNA
Rfam family: Bacterial small subunit ribosomal RNA
Source: RNAcentral
UACAGAGGUCUCAAGCGUUGUUCGGAUUCAUUGGGCAUAAAGGGUGCGUAGGCGGCGCGGUAAGUCGGGUGUGAAAUCUUGGAGCUUAACUCCGAAACUGCAUUCGAUACUGCCGUGCUUGAGGACUGGAGAGGAGACUGGAAUUCAUGGUGUAGCAGUGAAAUGCGUAGAGAUCAUGAGGAAGACCAGUGGCGAAAGCGGCUCACUGGACCAUAACUGACGCUGAGGCGCGAAAGCUAGGGGAGCAAACAGG